CACACACACACAUGUCUCACAGCAAGGUCGAUUGUCAUCACAAUGGAUUAAUGUCUGAGGAGCUGCAGGGAAAAGACAGCGGAGCUGGCUACACUUACCGCUCUGUCAGAGCAAGUCCGGAAGAGAGAGAGAGAAAAGGGAAAAGAGAGCGAGAAAGAGGGAGGAAUGCACAGCGCAGGACAUGGGUGACUAACUAAACCCACUCAUACAGAACGAGAACCUUGGCUGAUCUUUACAAUAAUCAGUGAGAGCAAGGGAAUGCCAAGCCAGGGCCAGGAGGAACCUUCUCUGUUCUCCUGUCUCUUCUCCACUUCCCCAAAAGCAACCGAGGGCCAUUUUUCAAGGGGGAAAUGAUUCAGGAGGAAGUGGGAAUUGAGGAGAUGAGGUCUGGAGAGUCUGGAGAUUCUCACGCUUCAGGUAGAAACUUCUACCUAUUCUGAUUGGCACAGUUGACGUUGGGUUUUGAGAACUUUAGCUCUGAAUAUAAAUGGGGAAGCUUAAGACAGACAAAAAAGAGGAAUCUAAGGCAUAUCUUUAAGUGAAUCAGGCGAUACAAAUUGUGACUGCACAUAUUAUCAUCAGACAGAAUGACAGUGAGGUAGAUAGAAUGAAAGGGAGUGAGUGAGAUUGAAACAGAGAAUGAAAAAGAGAGUAAGACGGAGUGAGUGAAAGUAAGAUGAAGAGAAAGAAAGUGUAAAAGAGAGAGAGAAGUUGAAGAGAGUCAGAGAGAGAGACCAGUUAUAUGGACUUCAGACUCCCACAGGCAUAGAAUCACAAACAGACUCACAGACAGACAGACUGACAGACAGAGACUGAAAGAGACUCAUAGACAGAUACUCACAGGCAGAUACUCACAGGCAGAUACUCACAGGCAGAUACUCACAGGCAGAGACUCACAGGCAGAUACUCACAGGCAGAUACUCACAGGCAGAUACUCACAGGCAGAGACACAGGCAGAGACUCACAGGCAGAUACUCACAGGCAGAUACUCACAGGCAGAUAUUCACAGGCAGAGACUCACAGGCAGAGACUCACAGACACAGAGACUGAAAGAGACUCACAGGCAAGAGACUCACAGACACACCGACAGACUCACAGACAGAGCCUGAAUCCCCCUGCUGGAACCUAAUGGCUACUACACCUAUCACAUGCUGCCCAAUUAACAGUCCACAAACAGAACCAAACUAACCAGAAAGACACGUAGAUUAGACAUGCUUUGACAAUUAGUCCUAUAUCUGGAGCUACAUCUAUUCAGAAUCUAGACUUAGUCACCCCACCCCAUCAAAAGAAUACCAUAUCUUCAUAUUUCCCAAAUUAAAAGAAGUACAGCCAACACUCAAUUCCAUCUGGAAUGAAUGACCCCUAUAAGAAUGGUUUUAUCUGACCUACAAAGUCCCCAACCUCUACCUGCUUAUCCCUCCCUCAUCUGUCUUUAGUGCAACAACUCCUGCUGACCUCUGACCUCUGCUGGCCUCUGACCUCUGUGUUCCCAUCUCCAUUAGAGGGCUUUAAUACAUGGAUGGUGCUUCUGCUGCUCUGGCCUUCCUGGGGCUUAGGCUACUGUGCAUUUUGAAUAUUAUGUGUGGAGAGAGAUGGUGCUUUGCAUUCAGACUUAUUGCACUGCCAUACAUUGUGUUUGGACACAGGGAUUGGGGGAGGGGGGGAUUGGGGUGUGAGAGAGGGAGACAAGUAACACACACACUUAAAAGUAUAUAUAUCUGUCAUUUUUGUUUCUCGGGCGACGCAUAUGUUAACUAUGUGCCCCCUGUCGUCUGGUGUUCGAGUACAGUAAUCGUGUGCAGUGUCGCAAAUAAACAUGCACACAGACACCCACAACCACCUAAAGGCAUUAAGUUGCAAGGUGGUCCGGUGGAGUCUUGCGCGUAACAGCAGUGUGUUUAGUCAGCCUUUAAACAAUAUGCCAGGCCACAGGAGAGGUCAGUCACACCAGCGUAAUGCAUGCUGGCGCAACAACGCCCUCCAAAGGACACUAUGGGAACUACAUCCAGCUUGUCCGCAAAUGUAUAUUUUCUUCUGUCAUUUUAAGCAUUCAAAAUAUGUAAAAACAAUGGAUGACAGUAGUCGUCUUUCAUCAAUAGUCACAAAAAAAUGUUGGUCUUCUGUGCAUCUGUUACUAAGUUUAAUUCUGCGAUAAGUGUGGGUUCAAAUCUUGUUCAUGUUAUAAAGACAUCAAUGAAAGACAACUCUCAAGGCACUCAUAGCAAAACUACAUCUCUUAGUGUGUGUAGAUUGCCUUUUAACAGGCUAAUAAUAACUAAACAUCUUUUAAAUUAGCAUGCCCUUGCAAAGCUUGACAUUCAGAUUAAUUUGCCAGAGGCACAUCAGGCCAGUGCCAACUGAAAGCUACUGGCCCGAAUGAAAAGAAUACUGGUCUAGGAAAACCUAUAUCCAAUAAUGACCUACCCUCUAUACACAAAUAACUACAUUUUAACUUGACAAUAUCAUAUUUACAUUGGAGGGAUAAAAUAAAACAAAACAAUCCAUCUCAAAAAGGGUGUUAUUGUUUCGAACUGUUGUAAGGCCCUUUAAAAUUGGUUUUAUCUUUGGGUAAAUUCAGUUUUCAGAAAUACAUUCUUUCCAAUUUCCUCGUUUUCCUCUUAUUUCAGGUUUUCACUCUCAAAAAAAUCACACUUUUUGUAGAAAAAAAAACAUGCUUAAACCAUGCCAGGAGACCACAUUUGAGGCCUGGGAACAAUAAAAUAAAAAACAUUUGGAGGGUGCAGUUAUCCUUUAAUUUAAUUUCACCUAGCAAGAGACCGAGCUACAUGUGAUGGCAGAGUUUGCAAAACAAAUGUCCCGCAAUUGAUACAAAUCAUCAUCAUAUAAUUUUGCCAGGUAGGCCUAUAAUUGGGAAGGUUUUUUGGGAAAGCCUUAAGAAAUGUUCAUAGAAAUUGAUGAUUGAUUUGAAUUGAUGAUUGAAUUGCACCUCGCAAAGAUUCAACCAAGACUUCGGACCAAACAUUUUCAAUACCUGGUCUACAUGUAACAGUAUAACUUUAGACCAUCCCCUCGCCCAUACCUGGGCACGAACCAGGGACCCUCUGCACACAUCAACAACAGUCACCCACGAAGCAUCGUUACUCAUCGCUCCACAAAAGCCGC
Long non-coding RNA from Oncorhynchus tshawytscha (Chinook salmon), 3123 nucleotides. RefSeq lists it as uncharacterized. The transcript has 3 exons. Lineage: Eukaryota; Metazoa; Chordata; Actinopteri; Salmoniformes; Salmonidae. The record is from RefSeq and is a predicted model, not a curated record.